CUUCCAUAUUUACCUUGAGGGAAACAUGUUCCCAAAUCUUCCCAUGCCUCGACAUCCCAAAUAUCAUCUAAUACGAUGAGGUAUCUCUUGCCUAUUAGAACCCUGCGCAACAUGUCAGCUACAUCAUCCUCUUCUUUGAUUUCGAUCUCAUCAUUUGUAGCUUGUUUGAAAAUCUCAAUCAAUAACGUCGUCCUAUUAUAUACUUGCGACAAAGCACACCAUGCUUUAACAUCAAAGUGAUUAACAAUAUAGGGAUUGUUGUAUACCUUUCUUGCCAAAGUUGUUUUACCAAGUCCUGCCAUUCCAUAGAUGGAGAUAAGAUCCCGCUCCUUUGUUCCUCGUAUCAAUUUCAUCAUUAUAAUUUCUGCUUCUUUCUCAAAGCCGACAACUUCAUCAUCAUCAUAGAUUGAUGUAAUACCAGGUUUGUUUGAAGGCUCUCCAGAAGAAAGAGUUCCUUUAGCACAAGUCUCAACAACUUCCAUGGAUUGAGUUAAUUGCUCUUUCACCUUUAAUAAAAGAAAUGAAAACAAUAUCAUUUCAUAAUUUAGAGAAGAAAAACACCAUAACCAAGUUCAAAUGAUUUGAAUUUUUGUUGUACUACAAUUUACAAACCAACUUGAAGUAGUUAGUUACAUAUUUGAAUUAAUUACAUGAUUUUAUAAGCGAAAAAAGAUUUUAAAAAAAUCUCACCUUCCGUUGUUGAUUGUGGCAAACAGAGAUCAAUUGCUCCAAAGGGUUGCCCUAAAUUGAUGGUCAUAGAAAUUUAAAAAAUGACAAAUAGUUGUCGGCUUGUAGUGGGAAAUAUCAGCAACUAAAUAAAUACAAUAAUUUAAGAUUUUUCUAAAAAAACAAUUGAGUGUUCACAAAUAAAAAAAAAGUGAUUAAAAUAAAUUAAAUUAUUUUAAAAUGGUGAAUGCCCAUGUGACUUAUGGGCCCACCCACUGUAGCAAACAUCCAUCCCAAGUAACAUACAUUUUCAGACUUAUAAAUAGUCUAAUAUUCUUAAUUCUUUUAAAAUGUAAGUCAACUUUAGUCGAAUUUGUUGUUGCGAUACUAAACUUUCAUGAAGACCUAUUACCUCCCUAGACUAUUUAAUACAGUAUUUUAAACAUAUAUGUUUGCCCACGUGGACAUAAAAAAUAAUGCAAAAUUAUAAAUAGUAAUGUGUCCACGUGGGCACAUAUAGACCUUUAAAAUACACUAUUAAAUAGUUCAGGGGGUGAAAAAUACACUAUUAAAUACUUCAGGGAGGUAAUAGGUCCUCAUGAAAGUUUAGUAUCGCAACAACAAAUUCGACCAAAGUUGGGGUAUUUUUCAGACCGUUUUCCCAAAAUGUAAUAUACAUUUUAAAAAAUAUAUUAUUUGAUAUAAAUUACUUUCAUCUCGAAUUAAUAAUAUUUUGUUUUUAAUUUUCAUCACUUUGUAACACAAUUUGAUGUUAUUAUGAAUUUUCACUAUGAAUAAUGCACAAAAUUUAAAUGAUAAGGUACAAAUUUUAAUUAAAAUACAAUACAUAAUAUAAUAAUUUAAAUACAAAAUAAUAAUACAAAACAUUACAUAACAUAAUAAUUUUUAAAAUCACAACAAUAAUUUAGUAAUUCGGUAGUUUGAUUCAAGAUUUAACAAUAUUCGAAAAAGGAAGUAUGUAGUGUAUGAUUUAGAGAAGUUGUGGUUGUAAUUGCGAUCGUGCUAGUCGAUUUCUUUUUUUUAAUUAUUCUUAGUUGUUCUUUAGAAAUUUAGAAUAAGAUAUAAUUUAAUAUUAAAUAAAGAAUUUCAAAAAUUAAAUUUUAUAUAACAUAAAGAUUAUAUAGGAUGAUUAUUAAAGAAAGAAAAGAUUUAUAUUACGAAAUAAGAAAAUAAAAUGAAAUAGAAAUAAUAAUAUAAUAUUGAGGAGAGAGAAGGAGAUUCUUUUUUUAGAGAGUAAAUAGAGAAUUCGGUUGGAGUUGGUUGUCUAGAAAAAUAGAGAACUCUAUAUUUUGAGAGUAAAAUAGAGUGUAGGGUUGGUGAAGCCCUUAGGAUAAAUGUGUAUUAUUAUUUGUUGUCUUAUUUGCUUGAUAUCUUUCUAUUUUUUUAAUUUAUCGGAAAUAAUUUUUCUUAACAUAAAGAUAGGGAUAAGAUUUGCUUAAAUAUUUUCUGAUUUAAAUAGAGCACACUUGGUAUGCUACUGUUGUUGGUGAGCAAAAUUAUUAGUGUUCAUAUUAUCCUUUGGGCUGGUAGUUGGCUCACUGAUUUGGGCUUGAAACUGUCAUGUUAGAGCCUAGAGGUCUCAAGUUCGAGAUCCUUGUUGGCCUCUGGGUUGAGCUCGUUGCAUCGAAUUUGCCUAGUUUAUAAUACAUCUGAAACAAGAAACAAACUCUUUUAGGCAAUUUGUACAAUUAUUUCACGAGUCACCGGAUGACAACAUUGUUCAAUUAUUCACAAGUUAAACUAGAUUGACAAGAUUUUGUACCGUCUUUAUUCUACCUGAAGUUAAACAGACUAUAGAAAUGGAAAUAGAGCACCUAUGAAGUGCAUUUAUUUACUUUUUAUAACAACUUGCAGACUGUCACAUCCUGUGUUUUCUUUAAUGUCUCUUUUGAUAUUCAUUGCUGAAACCACAAGUGAAUUGAUGCAUUUGGACAGUUCAAUAAGUCGCAAUGUUGGAAUAUCUGUAAAGCUAGAAGGGAUCUCCUCAGUAGCUUGUAUAGAUAGCUCCUCAAGCACCGGAAAGGAUUCCUUUGAAGCUUUCCAUUCGUCUAUCUGCCAAUUGAGUAAUGUCAAGUAUUUGAGUGCACGGAACUCCACAUUUCUGACGUCCCAACAAUAACUCUGUGAUCUCCUCCAAGGAAAUCCCACCUCUAAUUUGAGACUCUCAAGCUUCUUUAUACUCGCAAUGUUUAAAACCAUUUCUUCCGUCAACAAAAAGCCAGCAAGGUGCAGAUGCCUAAGAUUUGUAAGGCGAAAACAAAAUUGCUCUUCCAUCCAACUGAAUCACAGAGUUUCAAGGAAGAUAACUCUAGAGAGAGAGAAUGAAAGUGAGUAUGAACUUCCGGUAUGGAAACAAAGGAAUCUCAGGUACAUUUUUAAUGUUGAGGCUGAGUUCUUCAAGAUUUGGAAACCUUCAACAAAAACCUUGGAUUCAUAUUAUCCAAGCAUAUAUGGCAAGUGCGAAAAGUCUUCAUGUUCUCUAGCACAGUUGUUGAAGUUUCCUCGAAACUUCCUUGUUCAUUGACAUCCCAUACCACGGAAAAACCAUCUAUAUUCACAUGCCUUGGCUUUGUCAUUUCCCAUAAAGUAGAAGCCCUUAGGUGUAUCCUCUCACUUGACUUCAGCUGCAGAGUUUGGAGAUAGUGUAGGUGUGAUAUCCACUUGAAAUUGAAAUGUUGGACAUAAAGUGAUAGGUACCUUAACUGAGUUAGCGAUUGCAUUGCAGUAGCCCAUGAAUUUGGCAAUGCGUCAUCCAUCAAAUGCAAUGCCCGAACAUAUCUUAAUUUAACAACUAAAUCUAAAGGAUUUGAAUAUUGGUUAUUCCAUGUAUUGAGUUUUGGAUGAGCAAUGAACUCCAAAGAAUUUGUUUCCUUGAAAUCCAGCAUUGGAAUCUUAUCCAGCUGGUAGUCGGAAUGAUCUACCUUCUUCAUAAAGUGCAAGGUACAUUAUUCAUAAAUCCGGGGUACAAGUCUCUCCUCGAAAUACCUUCUUCGUCAAUAAUCUCAAACUCUCUAACGUGGUUAGAAAGCUAAGAGAAUAAGGAUCACUAUGGUGCUGAAGAUGCUUAGCCACUUUUUCAAUUCGUGUUGUGAUCAUUACUCUGCUUCUUUAUUCACCUUGAGGAAAACAUGUAUCCAAAUCUUCCCAUGCCUCGACAUCCCAAGUGUCAUCUAAUACGAUGAGGUAUCUCCUGCCUAUUAAACUCUUGCGCAACUUGUCAGCUAUGUCGUCAUCGUCCUCUUUGAUUUUGAUCUUAUCAUUUGUAGUUUGUUUGAAAAUCUCAACCAAUAACGUCCUCCUAUUAUAUGCUUGUGACACAGCACACCAUGCAGUAAUUAACAAUAUAGGGAUUGUCGUAUACCUUUCUUGCCAAAGUUGUUUUACCGAGACCGGGCAUCCCAUAGAUGGUGAAAACAUCCCGCUCCUUAGUUCCUCGUAGCAAUUUCUUCAUUAUAAUUUCUGCAUCUUUCUCAAAGCCCACAACGUCAUCAUCAUCAUAAAUUGAUGUAAUUCUAGGUUUGUUUGAAGUUUCUCCAGAAGAAAGAGUUCCUUUUCCACAAGUUCCAACAACCUCCAUGGCUUUGUCACCUUUCAUAAAAGAAAUGAAAACAACAUUAUUUCAUAAUUUAGAGAAGAAAAAAGAAACCCAAACCAAAACAUUAUCAAAGUGAUGUAACAUAAAAAGUUUUUUGUGUUACAACUUACAAAUAUAUCCACUACAAUACACUUUUACCUCGGGUAUUUUCUUUCAGUUACUGGAGAUAUUAAUUCUAGGUCCCCCUGAGUCAAAAUUCGCUACUCAAUAAUCUUUUAUUAUGGUCAUUUUUAUUUCCGGCAAAAUGCAUUUGAUAUUACAAGACUCCAGCAUGAGCUUCUACAAACAAACACACUUGAAAAAGGAGGAAAAGUUUGGCGACCUGUCGAGAAUUAAAUUAUACAUUGUCGUGUUUUCAAAUUUCACAUCAUAUUAUAUGAAAUUACGGAAUACACUGGUUCAUCGAGGUUUUUUUAAAGUCCCUUUCCCUUGGCUGUUUUGAUAUUUUAUUUUUGAUAUCUUAUUGUGACAGAUCGGAUCCCAGACUUAGAUUUGUCGAGUUUCACCUUACUAUUUGUUGAAUGAUGGAAACCAUUUCAAGCUGAUUGAAUGAAGGGUAAUUUAGUCUUUAGUCAAGAAAGAUAUUUUGUGUAAAGUUUGUUACAAAGUGGUUAGAAACGGUUAAGAGGUCAAGUCAUCAGUUAGUUAGCAGAGGAACUAUAAAUAGUACUGUAAUGUAUGAUUGAUUUUUAAUUAGAAAUACAAAUUAGAUUUCCAGACUAUUCUCUCUUCUUCCUUCUAGAAUUCUCCAUAUCUGAUUGUACCUCUGAGCUUGGUAAGGUCAUCCAUGGCUGCUAACAUGGUAUCAGAGCCUUCACAGUCGAUCUGAAGUGCUAGAAAAGCAGUCUAUAUAGGUAGAUCUCUAAGCUCUCUCAAGGUACAACAAAGAAGAAAUGGCAAUUGACGAUCAAAUCAACAUUGGCACAGCAGAUGCACCACCAGUGAUUCACGGAGCUCCUCUGCUAGACCACAAUCAUCUCUUGUUCUUGCAACCAACAGAUACUCCAGGUAGUUCUCUCAUCUCGAUUCAACUCACAGGAUCUGAUAACUAUGCCUUAUGGAGUAGAUCUAUGAGAAUUGGUCUUAUAGGCAAAAGUAAGUUGGGAUUUGUUGAUGGUCGUUUCCCUAAAUCUCAGUUUGCACCAAUGCUUCAUGAUCAAUGGGGGAAAGUGAAUGCCGUAGUAUUAUCAUGGAUCAUGAAUGCAGUCAGACCAGGGCUUCUGAGCAGUGUAGUCUAUGCUUCGAAUGCCAGUAAAGUUUGGGAGGACCUGAAGGAGAGGUUCAACAAAGUGAAUGGCUCUAGAGUCAUGUUCCUACAUAGAGAGAUUCAUACUCUCACUCAAGGAACUGUAUCAGUAGCUGAUUAUUUCUCGAAAUUACGCGACCUCUGGGAUGAAUUUGAUGCUAUCAUGCCGUGUCCAGGUUGUGCUUGUCCUGAAUCUCAAAGCUAUCUUCAACACUUUGAAUAUCAGAGACUGUUGCAAUUCCUAAUGGGGCUAAAUGAGUCUUAUUCUCAAUCUAGAAGUCAGAUUAUGAUGAUGAGCCCAACUCCUAGUGUCAAUAGAGCCUACUCAAUGCUAGUCGAUCAGGAAAGUCAAAGAACUUUGGCGAGUUUAACCCAGGGAAUCCAUAUCAAUGAUACUAGUGAUAGUGUUGCUAUGAUGAGUCACACUAGAGCACACUCAAGUAGUAGUACUGCAAUGCUCAGUAACACUAGACUAUAUCAUUCUGAUGUUAGUGGGAGCUCCAAGGGGAAGAAACCUCAGGUCAUAUGUGAAGUUUGUGGUUAUAAAGGCCAUACUAAGGAGUCCUGCUACAGAAUUGUUGGGUAUCCACCUGACUGGAAAGGUAAAAAGAAAGGUGUGCCAUCCCAGUACAAUCCAAGCUAUGCAGGUAACACUAACUCCUAUGCACAUCUUGCUAAUGUGAUACCUACAGGCACAGGAGGAAGGUCCUUUGGCUACUGGCCUCAACAGAUAGGACAUCAAACCCCUAUACAACACUAUGCAUCACAUGGCUCCUCACCUGCAUUCCAGAUGCAAGCUCAGCAUCCAAUGCAAACUCAGCACCAAAGAGUAGUCCCUCAGAUGCAGCAGUGUGGUCUGUAUCAGAUUCCAGGAGAUUCUCAAAAUCAAGCCAGACCUUACUUCACUCCUGAUCAAUAUCAGCAAGUGGUUCACAUGCUUGAUCAGGGGACCCCUGAUGGAUCAUCCUCUAGUAAGACUACAGCAGGUACUGUGAUCUCCUUAGUGUCUAGGUACAUGAAUCAAAAUUGGAUAAUAGAUACUGGUGCUUCUAAUCACAUGACUUCCAAUAAGAGUAUGUUGAAAAAUAGUCAAGUAGUUCCACAGCAGGCCAGCAAUCAAGUACAAUUACCUACAGGUGAUGUAGUUUCAAUCACUCACACAGGGACAUCACGUAUAUUUAAAGAUCAGGAAAUCAGCAAUGUGUUGUAUCUUCCUGACUUUAGAUAUAACCUUCUCUCAGUAUCUCGACUAACCAAGGAACUUCAGUGUUUUGCAGUGUUCUUUCUUGACUUUUGUCUCUUUCAGGACCUCUCCACUGGACAGGUGAAGGGGAUUGGUAGGGAACAACAUGGUCUCUAUGUGUUACAAGGAGGAUCCUGUCCCACCACCAUCACACAAACUGUUGUAAACACUGCUAGUCAAGUCCCUGAUUGUUCCCAUUUGUGGCAUCUGAGAUUGGGUCAUGCUCCAUUGGAAGUGCUCAAUAAACUUGUCACUCUCCCUCAUCUUUCUAAACCUACUAAAUCUCAUCAUUGUACUGUAUGUCCCUUAGCUAAACAGAGUAAACUUUCUUUUCCAAGUAGUGUUACUAGUUCCCAAUCUGUUUUUCAAUUGGUUCACUGUGAUGUAUGGGGACCAUAUAGAGUCCCUACUUAUGAUGCUAAGAGAUACUUUGUUACUCUAGUUGAUGAUUACUCUAGAUUUACCUGGCUGUUUCUGAUAAAUUCUAAGUCAGAUACUAUUGUCAUUCUGAAAGAUUUUAUCAAUAAAGUGCAAAAUGUGUUCUCUUCUACUAUCAAAACUCUUCGAACUGACAAUGGUUGUGAAUUUAUUAACCAUCCCUUUCAAAGUGUGUUGUCUGAGUUUGGCAUUCAACAUCAAACCUCUUGUGUGUACACUCCUCAGCAAAAUGGAGUUGUUAAAAGAAGACAUAGGACUAUCCUUGAGAUGGCAAGGUCUAUUCGAUUUCAAUCAGCAAUGCCUUUGAAAUUUUGGGGAGACUGUGUCAGUACUGCUGUGUACUUACUUAACAGACUUCCAUCCAGGGUGAUUGAGUACAAAACUCCUUAUGAAAUGUUAUAUAUGCAUCCUCCAAAUGUGAAUCAUCUGAAGGUUUUUGGGUGUUUGGGCUAUGCUAGCACUCCUAGGGCACUUGACAAGUUUGCCUCUAGAGCUAAACCUGCUGUUUUCAUAGGAUACUCACAGUCACAAAAAGGGUAUAAACUAUAUGAUAUCGCCACCCACUCUUUCUUUGUCAGCAAAAGUGUGGUGUUCAAGGAAGAUGUUUUUCCCUUCAAACACAUACAAGGUGCAGUUUCUCCUGUGUUUCCAGUCCUAGACCUUUUCUCUCCGGCAAGUCACCUGAGUGGUUCCAACUCUCAGCAGGGAUCUCUCAUAUCCAGUCCUUCUACACAGGCUGUGGCUGAUCAUACACCUCUUGUUCUAGUUCCUGGUGCACAGUCACCAGUGAUCCCUAUUAUCAGGAAAUCCACAAGACCUCACAAACCUCCAGGUUGGCUGCAGGACUAUGUUUCUGCCCCAAAGGCCUCUUCCUGCCUAUAUCCUAUGCCUUCCUAUGUUUCGUAUUCCACUGUGAGUCCAGGUCAUAUGCAAACCUUAUCCCCCUAUGCUUGUCAACAUGAACCUCAGUCAUUUAGGGAGGCUUCUCUUGACCCUAGAUGGAUUGAAGCUAUGCAGUUGGAGAUUGCUGCUCUUGAGGACAACAACACCUGGACUAUUGUGGACUUACCUCCCCAUAAGUCUCCCAUUGGAUGCAAGUGGAUCUAUAAGAUCAAGUACAAAGCCUCCGGGGAAGUAGAAAGAUUUAAGGCCAGGCUGGCUGCUAAGGGGUUCAGCCAAAAAGAGGGCAUAGAUUACACAGAAACAUUUUCCCCUGUGGCCAAGAUGGUCACAGUCCGGACUGUGAUUGCUUUGGCUGCCUCCAAACAGUGGUAUCUCUAUCAGAUAGAUGUCCAUAAUGCUUUCUUAAAUGGUGAUCUCCUAGAAGAAGUCUAUAUGAAGCUUCCUGAUGGGUUUGCUAGACAGGGGGGCUCUUCUAAAGUCUGCAAACUUCAGAAAUCUCUUUAUGGCCUCAAGCAGGCUCCAAGACAGUGGAACAGAAAAUUGACUGAAGCACUGGAAGCAUUGGGAUUCAAACAGAGCCACUUUGAUUACUCACUCUUCACUAAUAAAAAUGGAGUUGAUAUAACAGUAGUGCUUGUAUAUGUUGAUGAUCUCAUAGUCACAGGAAGCAAUCACAACCUGAUCAAACAAACAAGGACUGAAUUACAAAGUAAGUUCAAAAUGAAAGAUCUUGGUGAAUUAAAGUUCUUUCUGGGCAUAGAGGUUGCUAGAUCAAAGGAAGGGAUAGUUAUGUCACAAAGGAAAUAUGCACUGGAGCUGAUUAAAGAAGCUGGACUCAGUGGAUCUAAACCAGCUGGAACUCCUCUAAAACUAAAUGUGAAGCUUACUUCUGAAGAAUAUGAUCAGUACAUCAGAAGGGAAGACACAGACUUAUUACUCAAGGAUCCUGGUCCCUAUCAGAGAUUAGUAGGAAGAUUAUUAUAUCUAACUAUGACAAGACCAGACCUAGCAUUCACAGUUCAAGUACUAAGCCAAUUUAUGCACAGUCCAAAAAACUCACACAUGGAGGCAGCCUUGAGAGUUGUGAGGUACAUUAAAGGAGCACCUGGACUUGGACUGUAUUUGCCAGCAGAAUCCACAAACAAUCUAACCACCUAUUGUGACUCAGACUGGGGUGCAUGUCUACAGACCAGGAGGUCAGUCACAGGUUACCUAGUGAAGUUUGGGGAAGCUCUAAUAUCCUGGAAGUCAAAGAAACAAGACACAGUCUCCAGAAGCUCAGUAUAAGCUGAAUUCAGAAGCAUGGCUUCAGCUACUGCAGAGAUCAUCUGGCUGACCGGUCUACUAAAGGAACUAGAUGUUGAAGUACAAGUGCCUACUCAGCUAAUGUGUGAUAGUAAAGCAGCAAUACAAAUUGCUGCAAAUCCAAUAUUUCAUGAGAGAACUAAACACAUAGAUAUAAACUGCCACUUUGUAAGGAAGAAUUUUGCAGGGAAUGAUCAGACAAAUCAUGUGCCUACCAAAGAGCAGCUGGCUGAUAUUCUGACCAAAAGUCUGGGAAGAGCACAACAUGAGUAUUUACUCAGUUUACUUGGUGUGAAAGACCUGUUUAGUCCAUCAGCUUGAGGAGGGGUGUUGAAUGAUGGAAACCAUUUCAAGCUGAUUGAAUGAAGGGUAAUUUAGUCUUUAGUCAAGAAAGAUAUUUUGUGUAAAGUUUGUUACAAAGUGGUUAGAAACGGUUAAGAGGUCAAGUCAUCAGUUAGUUAGCAGAGGAACUAUAAAUAGUACUGUAAUGUAUGAUUGAUUUUUAAUUAGAAAUACAAAUUAGAUUUCCAGACUAUUCUCUCUUCUUCCUUCUAGAAUUCUCCAUAUCUGAUUGUACCUCUGAGCUUGGUAAGGUCAUCCAUGGCUGCUAACACUAUUCUUAGUAUUUGAGAAAGAAAAAUGGAAUAAUCCGUCAUUGAAAGAGCUUUAAAGCUCAAAUUUUAAGAUUUAACCUGCUGUAAAUGUGUGAAUCAUUUCGAGCGAAAAAUAUGUCCAAAAGAUUAAAAAUGUUGAGAGCAGCUCAUAUCUAAAAUUUGAAACGGUUUAAGAGGAGUUCUGAGUUGGUCGAGAUUGAAAAAAAAAGAUCAAUGAAGAAGGUGAAAUAAGGUAAUAUAUAAAUAUUAUAUAAACAGUAUUUAUAGAUGUAUAUAUAGUUAUGAUUUGUAAUUUCUAAUUUAGUUUAACCACUCCAAAAUUUAACUUCUGAAUGGAACAAAAUGCCUAGUAAAUAAGUAGAGAAGCAAAUAAAAUAAAAAGAAGUUGAAAAUAACCAAGAAAAAACUGAUUAAAGAAUAUUAGUGAAUAAUGAUGUGAAGAAAAUAGAGUAAAAUGUAUGAAAAAAAAUAAAACAAUUUAGAAAUCUGACCUUAGGUUAUUGAGAAGAUUGCUUAAUUGAUGCUUUUGUGUUCAGGGAAAUGGAAACUGAGAAAAAAUAUAGAGGAAGGAGAUGGUGGACUUCAAUGAUAUAAAUAAUUGCUGAUUAAACAAAUAAAUACAUAUUAUUCAAAACUCCCAAUCAACAGCUGUAUGUAUUGUACCCCACAUUUCCGAUCGGAAAAGAUAACUUUGUUUAUGCUCCUUCACUUUCAUAUUAUUAAAUUUAUGUUGAUCUGACAUAUUUUGUUCGUUAAAAAAAAGAAUGAUCUAAUGUAAUUUGACAUGGUAUUUAAAAAAAUAAAAAAGAUUUUUUGUGGUCCUCAAUCAAAGUUAUGUUAAAUGUAUGAAAAUAUUUUUUAAUCUUCUGAUUUUGAACUUUUAAGCAUGUCAUAUGGAAAGUUGAAAUUAAAGUUUUGCCAAAAGAAAAGGGGUCAUUUUUUUUAAGAAAAAAUUAAAAAGAAAGAAGAUCAUUUUUUUUUAAACAAAAGAAGUACUCCUGUAAUUUAUUUUAUAUAGCUAUUUAAUAUUAAGGAUAGAAAAAAUAUAUAUUUCCUCUCGUCUAUUUUACUUGUCAUUUUUGGCAUGCACGUCCUCUAAGAAAAAUAUUAACUAUAACAUAAUUUGACUCUAAAAUUUAACUUCUUAAAUGAAUAACAUGCCUAGUAAAUAAGUAGAGAAGCAAACCAAAUAAAAAGAGCUUAAAGUUAACCAAAGAAAAUGCGAUUAAAGAAUAUUACUGAAUUAAUGAUAAGUUAUUAUAAUCUUAUAUAUAUGACUCAUAUUAUUAAUUAAAAAUUAAAUGAAGUUUCUAUUUUAAUUAUUAUUCAUUAUUAGGUAAAGUAACUUUAAAAAAGAAAAUAAGAAAUGAAAAUUUUUAAUAAUAUUUUAUGAGGAAUGAAUAUGAUUAAAAAGAAAAAUAAUACUAAUAUAUUUAUUAGGAAAAGAACAUUUUCUACUUAUUAAGUAGUAAUAAUAAUGAUAUUUUUAAACUGACCUAUUAGAGAGCCUUUUUUUUUUAAUGUCAUAUUGUUUAAGAUAACUUUUGACGCAUUUUCUUGUUGAAUAACUUUUUACUUAAUUUGAACUAUAAAAAAUAUCCUAACAAUUCAUAGUAGGAGUAAUUGAAAAAGUUGUCACAUUAUACACAUCGCGGGGAGCUAAUAAAAAAAGAAAAAAUAAAAAGAUGAUUUUUGUUUUUUAACGGUUUGAUUUUUACUUUGUCACUUAAUUUAAAGGCAUAAUACAUAAAUAUGUCAUUUAAUUUGACUUUAUUUUACAUUUAUGCUCUCCAACUUUGAAUGUGCACAAAUAGAAAAAUAAACUUGUACGAAGUUAAAUUAGUAGACACAUGAGUCCUACAUGACAUAAUACACAUAGGACACCACAUAAGACUCAAAUUGUCAUGUGUGAUGUUACGUAGGACGCGUGUGUCUAUUUGUUCAACUUUAUACAAGUUUAAAUGUUUAUUUGUGCACACUAAAAAUUAGAGCAUUGUAAAUUAAAAUCAAGUUAAAGGACAUAUUUAUAUAUUAUGCCUAAUUUAAAAUAUGUUUUUAUUGAAUGUAUGGCCUAUUUGAAAAUCAUACUAUCUCUAUUAGGGGUGUGUAUCGUUGGUUCAGUUUAAUUUUAAGUAUUAUCGGUUCGGAUUAUCUGUUUUCGAUUUUAAAUGUACUAAACCGAUAGUCAAGCUAAUAAGAUAUUUGUUAUCGAUUUUCGAUUUAUUGAUUUUUGGUCCUUAACAGUUCGAUUUUCGGUUUAACCAAUAAAAAAAUGCUUUCAAAACAAAUAUAUGAUUUGUCCACUAAUUUGACGCGAUACAGACAUACAUCGAAACAAGCAAAUCAAACAAAAUUGCAACAAUAAAGAUGAAAGUAGUACUAAAACCUAAAGGGUAAAUGCAGAGAGGACAGAGUUAAGUAAUGUUAAUUGUGUAGGGUAGUUAUAGUUAUAGUCUAAUAUAAUAAUUAUAUUAAUAUUUUUUGUUUGAUAUUUAUGUAUGACUAAAAAUUAAAAUAACAAAUUAUUAUAUUCUUAAUGAGUUAUCGAUUAACCCAAUAACCUAAUAUUAAAAAAUCAAUAUCGAAUUGAUAACUCAAUAAUUUUUUAUAAAACCAUUAAAUAACGGUUAAUUCAAUAAUCCAAUAACAAUAAACCAAUAACACUUUUUUCAAUUUGAUUUUUGCAUACCCCUAAUCUCAUCUGUUUUAAUAUAAAGUAGUUUCUGAAAGUCCGACUUUGAUAGAGUAAUCUCUGUGCUCGAGUAAUUUAGGCCUUUCAAAAUCAAAUAAGCAGUUUAACAAAUUCAUGAGCAUUACAAGAUUGAAUAUACAUACAGAGAAUUGUUUUCUCUAUAUAUAUGAGAUGGAUGAAAUUAAAGAGGUGUUAUCCGCUAUAAGCUUUAUUAGUCCUUCAAUUUAACAACUUGGAGACUGUCACUUCCCGUGUUUUCUUCAAUUUCUUUUUUGAGUUUCAAAGCUGAAUCAACAAGAUAGUCGUUGCAGUCAAACAGUUCAAUAAGUCGCAGCGCUGGAAUAUCCUGAAAGCUAGGAGGGAUCUCCAGGAAAUCGAAACCAGCUUUUAUAGAUAGCACCUCAAGCACAGGAAAGGAUUCCUCUGAAGCUUUCCAUUCGUCGAUCUGCAUACCGAGUAAUGUCAAAUAUUUGAGUGCAGGGAACUCCACAUUUGUGACGUCCCAACAAUAGCUCUCUGAUCUCCCCAAAGGAAUUCCCAACUCUAAUUUCAGACUCUCAAGAUUCUCCAAUCUUGCAAUGUUUAAUAUCAUUUGUUCAGUUAAGAAACAGCCAGCAAGGCGCAAAUGCCUAAGAUUUGGAGGGAACACACAAUACCUCUCCCAUCGGUCAACUGAAUCCCAGAAUUCCGUGAAAGAUAAAACCAGAGAAAGAGAAUGAAGGUUAGUAUGAACUUUCGGUAUGGAAAACAGAGGAAACUUAGGUACACAUUUGACGUGGAGGCUGAGAUCUUCGAGAUUUGAAAACCUCCACCAGAACCUUGGAUUCUUAUUAUCCAACAAUAUAUGGUAAGUGUGAAAAGUCUUCAUGUUCUCUAGCAUAGGUGUUGAACAUUCUUCAAAACUUCCUUCGUCAUUAAUGUCUUCCCAUACCAACGAAAAACAGUCUAUAUUCACAUGCCUUAGCUUCGUCAUUUCCCAUAAAAUAGCAGCCCUUAGGUGUAACUUCUUAUUGGACCGGAGCUGUAGAGUUUGGAGAUUGUGUAGGCGUGAUAUCCACUUCAAUUCAAAAUGUUCCACAGAAACUGCAAGGUACCUCAACUUAGUUAGCGAUUGCAUUGCUUUAGCCCAUGUAUCAGGCAAUUCCACAUCCAUCAAAUACACUGCCCGAAUAGAUCUGAAUUUAACUGCUAAAUGUAAAGGAUUUGAAUAUAGGUUAUUCCAUGUAUUGAGUUUUGGAUGAGCAAUGAAUUCCAGAGAUUUUGUUUCCUUGAAAUCGAGCAUUGGAAUCUUAUCCAGCUGGUAGUCGGAAUGAUCUAAUUGUUUAAUUAGAUCAUCAUGAAUAUAAAUGCAUAACCGUGAUUCCGUGGAAUGCAAAUGUUGAUACGGAUUGUAUGGCACUGCGACCUGAAUAUACUGGUCUUCUGUGAGUUUUCUCAAGCAGAACUCACGCACUACAUCAUUAAGUGAGCAGUAUUCUACAACAUGAUCAAUUCUCAUUCCGGAGACCAUUACUAGGCUUCUGUUAAGCAAAUCACUCAAGCAAUUUCGAGAUGCUUCCUCCAUGUUCUCUGUUUCGGCAUUCAAUACAAACUCUUCAGCCAUCCACAACUUCAGCAGAUGGUCCACUGGGAUCUUAUGGUCUUCUGGAAACAAUCCCAUGUAAAGAAGGCAAGGCUUUAAGUGGUCUUCUAAAUGGUCAUAACUUGAUUGUAUCACCUUCAUGCUCUGCUCUCCUAAUGCAAGGGAACUUAAGUCAUUUGCAACCUCGAGCCACAAGGACGCCUUCCUUUCCCUUUUUGCUAUAAUUCCAGCAAUCAAGACAACCACAAGAGGCAGUCCCUUACAGUGUAGGGCAACUUGUAACCCUGCUUCCAGUAGAUCCGGGGAACAACUUUCUCCUCGAAAUACCUUCUUCUCCAAUAAUUCCCAAGUCUCUCCGAAAGUUAGAAAGCUAAGAGGAUAAGGAUCACUGUGAUGAUGAAGAUCCUUAGCCACUUGUUCAAUUCGUGUUGUGACAAUUACUCUGCUUCCAUAUUUACCUUGAGGGAAGCAUGUUACCAAAUCUUUCCAUGCCUCGACAUCCCAAAUGUCAUCUAAUACAAUGAGAUAUCUUCUGCUUAUUAGACUCUUGCGCAACAUGUCAGCUACAUCAUCAUCCUCUUUGAUUUCGCUAUCAGCAUUUGUUGCUUGUUUGAAAAUCUCAACCAAUAACGUCCUUCUAUUAUAUGCUUGUGACACAGCACACCAUGCUUUAACAUCAAAGUGACUAACAAUAGAGGGAUUGUAGUACACCUUCCUUGCCAAAGUUGUUUUACCGAGUCCAGGCAUUCCAUAGAUGGAGAUAACAUCCCGCUCCUUUGUUCCUUGUGUCAAUUUCUUCAUCAUAAUUUCUGCAUGUUUCUCAAACCCGACAACUUCAUCAUCAUCAUAAAUUGAUGUAAUACUAGGUUUUGUGGAAGGCUCUCCAGAAGUUUCAACAACAUCCAUGUCAAUUGGCGAUUGUGGAAACUACUAUGAUCCGGCCAAACUAUCUUUAGUUAAUUGCUCUGUCACCUUUCAUUAGGAAAAAUGAAGAUGCUAUAAUUAUAAGAAAAAACAACAAAAAGUAAACUUUGAUGCUUCAAUUUUGGGUUUAGAGAAGUCGAAAUUGAGAAAGAAGAGGAUGGACAUAUAUUGAAGAAAGAAUAGUGAUACUACAAAUAUAUAGUACUACUAGAGGCCUUAAAAUAAAAAUUAUAUAAGCAAUGUUUUUAUUUUAAAUCUAUUUUUCUAGCUUUUUG
Molecule: long non-coding RNA, 15504 nt
Filed under: Solanum tuberosum (potato)
Lineage: Eukaryota; Viridiplantae; Streptophyta; Magnoliopsida; Solanales; Solanaceae
Description: long non-coding RNA (STUB_LNC006705)
Source: RNAcentral